CGCCUUUUGAAUUAUAAAUAUAAAAGGUCCUGCCUGCCCAGUGACACUUGUUUCAACGGCCGCGGUAUCAUGACCGUGCAAAGGUAGCGUAAUCACUUGUCUUUUAAAUAAAGACCAGUAUGAAUGGCAAGACGAAACCUAACUGUCUCCCUAAGCUAAUCAAUGAAAUUGAUCUUCCCGUGCAGAAGCGGGAAUAAUAAUAUAAGACGAGAAGACCCUGUGGAGCUUCAAAAUUAAGCUAACAGAUAUAAUGCCUUAGCAUACAGUUUUAGGUUGGGGCGACCAUGAGGUAAAACAAAACCCUCAAGACGAAAACUAAGAAGGACACUUCAAAUAAAUAAUAAUAUAGUAAUUGACCCAAUAAUUGAUCAACGAACCAAGUUACCCCAGGGAUAACAGCGCAAUCUACUCAAAGAGCCCUUAUCGACGAGCAGGUUUACGACCUCGAUGUUGGAUCAGGACUCCCAAAUAAUGUAACAAUUAUUAAAGGUUCGUUUGUUCAACGAUUAAAGUCCU
This 516-nucleotide ribosomal RNA is filed under the name Pseudoeurycea smithi (Smith's false brook salamander). RNAcentral describes it as "partial 16S ribosomal RNA". It matches the Rfam family "Bacterial large subunit ribosomal RNA", at positions 1819 to 2597 of the family's 2925-position model. Lineage: Eukaryota; Metazoa; Chordata; Amphibia; Caudata; Plethodontidae. The record is from RNAcentral.